Molecule: ribosomal RNA, 445 nt
Filed under: uncultured bacterium
Lineage: Bacteria
Description: partial 16S ribosomal RNA
Rfam family: Bacterial small subunit ribosomal RNA
Source: RNAcentral
GUGAGGAAUAUUGGACAAUGGGCGCAAGCCUGAUCCAGCCAUGCCGUGUGCAGGAAGACGCAUCUAUGGUGUGUAAACUGCUUUUGUACGGGAAGAAACACUCCCUCGUGAGGGAGCUUGACGGUACCGUAAGAAUAAGGAUCGGCUAACUCCGUGCCAGCAGCCGCGGUAAUACGGAGGAUCCAAGCGUUAUCCGGAAUCAUUGGGUUUAAAGGGUCCGUAGGCGGUUUAAUAAGUCAGUGGUGAAAGCCCAUCGCUCAACGAUGGAACGGCCAUUGAUACUGUUAGACUUGAAUUACAAGGAAGUAACUAGAAUAUGUAGUGUAGCGGUGAAAUGCUUAGAUAUUACAUGGAAUACCAAUUGCGAAGGCAGGUUACUACUUGUGGAUUGACGCUGAUGGACGAAAGCGUGGGGAGCGAACAGGAUUAGAUACCCGAGUAGUCC